This is a long non-coding RNA of Rhodamnia argentea, 123 nucleotides long. RefSeq lists it as uncharacterized. Lineage: Eukaryota; Viridiplantae; Streptophyta; Magnoliopsida; Myrtales; Myrtaceae. The transcript has 3 exons. The record is from RefSeq and is a predicted model, not a curated record.
CCUCCACGCUUAUACCGACGAUUAAAAAGGUUAGACAAACAUAAAAAAAAAUAAGAACAUGUAUUAAGGACACAUAAUGACGUACAUCAUGAAGCUUACCAUUUUCUUAGAGAGAGAGAGAGA